UACGGAGGGUGCAAGCGUUAUCCGGAUUUACUGGGUUUAAAGGGUGCGCAGGCGGAUAUGUAAGUCAGUGGUGAAAUCUCUAGGCUUAACCUGGAAAUUGCCGUUGAUACUAUAUAUCUUGAAUGCUGUGGAGGUAAGCGGAAUAUGUCAUGUAGCGGUGAAAUGCUUAGAUAUGACAUAGAACACCGAUUGCGAAGGCAGCUUACUACGCAGAUAUUGACGCUCAUGCACGAAAGCGUGGGGAGCAAACAGG
RNAcentral lists this ribosomal RNA (253 nucleotides) under uncultured bacterium. RNAcentral's name for it is "partial 16S ribosomal RNA". It matches the Rfam family "Bacterial small subunit ribosomal RNA", at positions 524 to 776 of the family's 1533-position model. The record is from RNAcentral.